ACAGAGGUGGCAAGCGUUGCUCGGAAUCACUGGGCUUAAAGGGUGUGUAGGCGGUUCGGUAAGCAUCUUGUGAAAGCCCACGGCUCAACCGUGGAACUGCAGGAUGGACUGCCGGACUUGAGGCGCGUAGAGGUCACUGGAACUCUGGGUGGAGCGGUGAAAUGCGUAGAUAUCCAGGGGAACGCCAAUGGCGAAGGCAGGUGACUGGGCGCGUCCUGACGCUGAGGCACGAAAGCGUGGGGAGCGAACGG
This 251-nucleotide ribosomal RNA is filed under the name uncultured prokaryote. RNAcentral describes it as "partial 16S rRNA". It matches the Rfam family "Bacterial small subunit ribosomal RNA", at positions 525 to 775 of the family's 1533-position model. The record is from RNAcentral.